This 471-nucleotide ribosomal RNA is filed under the name uncultured bacterium. RNAcentral's name for it is "partial 16S ribosomal RNA". It matches the Rfam family "Bacterial small subunit ribosomal RNA", at positions 28 to 507 of the family's 1533-position model. The record is from RNAcentral.
GACGAACGCUGGCGGCGUGCUUAACACAUGCCAGUCGAACGAUGAAGCCUAGCUUGUUCGGUGGUUUAGUGGCGAACGGGUGAGUAAUACGUGAGUAACCUACCUUUAACUCUGGGAUAAGCCUGGUAAACUGGGUCUAAUACCGGAUACGACCAAUCUCCGCCUGGGGUGUUGGUGGAAAGCGUUAUGUAGUGGUGAUAGAUGGGCUCGCGGCCUAUCAGCUUGUUGGUGAGGUAACGGCUCACCAAGGCGACGACGGGUAGCCGGCCUGAGAGGGUGACCGGCCACACUGGGACUGAGACACGGCCCAGACUCCUACGGGAGGCAGCAGUGGGGAAUAUUGCACAAUGGGCGCAAGCCUGAUGCAGCGACGCCGCGUGAGGGAUGACGGCCUUCGGGUUGUAAACCUCUGUUAGCAGGGAAGAAGAGAAAUUGACGGUACCUGCAGAGAAAGCGCCGGCUAACUACGUG